UGGAGAGAAAGGCAGUA
RNAcentral lists this microRNA (17 nucleotides) under Homo sapiens (human). RNAcentral's name for it is "hsa-miR-4306". Lineage: Eukaryota; Metazoa; Chordata; Mammalia; Primates; Hominidae. The record is from miRBase by way of RNAcentral.